This 418-nucleotide ribosomal RNA is filed under the name uncultured bacterium. Its description in RNAcentral is "bacterial SSU rRNA". It matches the Rfam family "Bacterial small subunit ribosomal RNA", at positions 355 to 787 of the family's 1533-position model. The record is from RNAcentral.
UGGGGGAUAUUGGGCAAUGGGCGAAAGCCUUACCCAGCAACGCCGCGUGAGGGAAGAAGGUUUUCGGAUUGUAAACCUCUGUCCUGGGGGACGAAGGAAGUGACGGUACCCCGGGAGGAAGCCCCGGCUAACUACGUGCCAGCAGCCGCGGUAAUACGUAGGGGGCGAGCGUUGUCCGGAAUUAUUGGGCGUAAAGGGCGCGUAGACGGCCGAGUAAGUUAUAGGUGAAAGCCCAUCUUUCAAGGAUGGAAUUGCCUGUAAUACUGCCUGGCUUGAGUGCAGGAGAGGGAAGCGGAAUUCCUAGUGUAGCGGUGAAAUGCGUAGAUAUUAGGAGGAACACCAGUGGCGAAGGCGGCUUUCUGGACUGUAACUGACGUUGAGGCGCGAAAGCGUGGGGAGCAAACAGGAUUAGAUACCC